Molecule: RNA transcript, 1919 nt
Organism: Panicum hallii
Lineage: Eukaryota; Viridiplantae; Streptophyta; Magnoliopsida; Poales; Poaceae
Gene name: interactor of constitutive active ROPs 4-like
Exons: 4
Source: RefSeq, a predicted model, not a curated record
GUCCGUUUCCACGAGAAAGGCCGGGGCCUCGCUCGCUCAAAGCCUCUUCUGUUCUGUUCCAGUGUUCUGUCUGCGCCCGCCGCUCGCCUCCGCCUUUCCACGACCCCAACGUCUUUCUCCUCGCCCCUGCUCUCAUCCUAGGACGCCGCGCACGCCGGGAGCCCGGGAGGGGAGGUUCGACCACGACCGCCGCCACGAGCUCGCGGAGGACCAUGCCGAGAUCCAGGGGGUCCGAGCCGCCGCAGCGGGCGUCGCCGCGCGCGCCGCUGCACCUCAAGACGACGGCCUGCUCCGAGGCGAACGGCGCGCACCACCGCCCUGCCGUCGACCGGGCCAGCCCCAAGGUCGGGGACCGCCACUCGCCGCGCAGCCCUCUGCCCGAGAAGAAGCGCGCGGCGGGGACGCGGGUGGCGGAGCUGGAGGCGAAGCUGGGGAAGGUGCAGGACGAGCUCAAGAAGCUGCGGGAGCAGCUCGCGUCCGCCGAGGCCGCCAAGAAGGACGCGCAGGUCGCGCUCGAGGAGGCCAAGAAGCGCGUCGGCACCAAGGGGAACUCCGCCUCCGCGGCGACAUCAACUCUCUCUGCCCCCUCGGCGGGGGUCGAGACCGCGAAGAAGACGGAGGAGCUGAAGGCGCCUCCACCGGCGGCCGAAGACGAAGAAAGCAGCAUAAACUCGCCGGCCACCGACGUGUUUGAGGUUGUCCCGGCCGAGUCGGGGGACAAGGAGAACCAGAGCGCGGCGGCCGCCGCAGAUGAAUGCGAGGCUGUGAGUUGCGGCGAGAAGGCGGCGCUGGCGGAGAAGGAGGAGGUGGUGGAGGAGGAGGAGACCAAGAAAAUGAUCGAGGAGGAGAACAAAAAUGCAGCUGCGGAAACCGACGCCGCGGAGAAGGAGAGCCCGGAGGUCGCGGAGCUGAAGGCCAAGCUGGCGGAGAAGGACACGGAGAUCGCCGCCCUCACGGCGGAGAACGCGGAGCUCAAGAAGCAGGCCUGGGAGGCCGCCGAGGCGGCGCAGAAGGCCGCGGAGGACGCGGCGGCGAAGGCGUUCCAGGCCGAGCACGAUCUGAAGGAGGGCGCGGCGCGGGAGGCCCGGAUGUGCGAGCAGCUGCGGGCGUCGGAGGCCGCGCGGGAGGCGCUGGACGGCGAGAUGCGGCGCCUGCGCGUGCAGACCGAGCAGUGGCGCAAGGCCGCCGAGGCCGCGGCCGCGGUGCUCGGCGGGGACAACCACCUCACCGGGCUGGCCGGCAACGGCAACGGGUGGGGCUCCCCCGCCACGAUGCCCGAUGACGGCGACGACGAGGGGUUCGGGGGCAAGCGCAAGGGCGCCGGCAUCCGGAUGCUCGGCGACCUCUGGAAGAAGAAGGGGAGCAGCAAGUGAAAAUGCCUGCCGGGGAAACGUGGGAUCGGUUUCACGAACUCGGCAACGGUGAGCUCGCUCAGCCCGCCAGCCUGAACUCCAUGCCUUCCUCGCACUAGCUUAGCGCCAUCGUUUUACCGCGUUUUGGUUCGGAUUCUGCUUGUGUUUGUAUGAUGAUGAUGAUGAGAUGAUGCUCGAUCGUGAGACUGAACUACGGUCUGUAACGCUGCAUUGCUGCUGCUACCUCACUGUAAGGAGCAACCAAGAUGGUUUGGUGUUUCCCUGCACUGCCGUGCCGCUGAUGAUAGAGCAGGUAUCAUUGCUACGCGCAGUAGUCUUGAGAAAAUUUCGGUUGGAUCCGAACGAGGUCCAUCAUAAUACCUGCUGAUUGCGUGGUGGUCGCUCAUGAUGCUACGGGGAUAUGAUUGCAUCCGAUGAGAGGAUUGUUGGGACGCAGCCAGAGAGAUUCGAGCCGCAAUGCAGCAGCAUCUCGGUGAUGUACAUAGGACCGCCUGAUAACUGGCGUUCAAAAUAUCUCUUGCUAAAUAAAUCUUCGUUGUGUCGCUG